AGGGCACAACCAGGAGUGAAGCCUGCGGCUUAAUUUGACUCAACACGGGGAAACUUACCAGGUCCAGACAUAGUAAGGAUUGACAGACUGAGAGCUCUUUUUUGAUUUUAUGGGUGGUGGUGCAUGGUCGUUCUUAGUUGGUGGAGCGAUUUGUCUGGUUAAUUCCGUUAACGGACGAGACCUCAGCCUGCUAACUAGCUAUGCGGAGGAUUCCAUCCGCGGCCAGCUUCUUAGAGGGACUAUGGUCGUUUAGGCAACGGAAUUUUGAGGCA
Molecule: ribosomal RNA, 272 nt
Filed under: uncultured eukaryote
Lineage: Eukaryota
Description: partial small subunit ribosomal RNA
Rfam family: Eukaryotic small subunit ribosomal RNA
Source: RNAcentral